CCUACUGGUGACUUCAUUGAGGCAUCUUGGUCAAUGGACGGAAGUCUGAACCAGCCAUGCCGCGUGCAGUCCUCCUUCUCUCUUCUUUUUCCCCUUCUUUUUUCCCCUUUUCCACCUUCCUACUUUUAUUCAGCUGAAAGUACUUUACUAAUAAUUAUCUUCUAACUCCGUGCCAGCCUCCUCGGUAAUACUGAGUCUCCCAGCGUUAUCCGGAUUUAUUGGGUUUAAAGUUUGCGUAGGCGGAUUGAUAAGUUAGAGGUGAAAUGUGCGAGCUUAACUCGGGAAAUGCAUAUAAUAAUGUUGAUCUAGAGAGUAGAUGCGGUAGGCGGAAUGUAUGGUGUAGCGGUGAAAGGCUUAGAGAUCAUAAAGAACACCGAUUGAGAAGGCAGCUUAAAAAUCUAUAGAUGAAGUUGAGGCACGAAAGAGGGGGGAGAAAACAGGAUGAGAGAAAAAGGGAGUC
Molecule: ribosomal RNA, 460 nt
Filed under: uncultured bacterium
Lineage: Bacteria
Description: partial 16S ribosomal RNA
Rfam family: Bacterial small subunit ribosomal RNA
Source: RNAcentral